GGGGGCGAUCCGGAUUCGACGCCGGUAAUCAAAGCCCUAGGUGCAUGCCGAGAGGGUAGUAACUCUCGUAAAACAAUUGCUGCAAAACUAUAUAUCUGCCAACGACGCAGACUACGCACUGGCGGCCUAGACCGCUGCCAACCCCACCGCAGAGGUGCCUGUGACUAAGCGAUGGGGGCACGUUUCACGGGAUCGCGGAGAGAUCUCGCCCGGGGUCGAACCGCUAAAAAUUAAUCGGGCUCGUCCACGACACCCUGCCCACCGGGUCGUCAGCGGACUAAAUCAAUAGAUGUGGCUAAGCAUGUAGAGCCGAAGGCGGCGUGCUGGCGGACGCGGGUUCGAUUCCCGCCGCCUCCACCA
Molecule: transfer-messenger RNA, 360 nt
Filed under: Gammaproteobacteria bacterium
Lineage: Bacteria; Pseudomonadati; Pseudomonadota; Gammaproteobacteria
Rfam family: transfer-messenger RNA
About the family: Bacterial tmRNA, also known as 10Sa RNA or SsrA, is named for its dual tRNA and mRNA-like properties. Its role is to liberate the mRNA from a stalled ribosome. To accomplish this part of the tmRNA is used as a reading frame that ends in a translation stop signal.
Source: RNAcentral